This 393-nucleotide ribosomal RNA is filed under the name uncultured bacterium. RNAcentral's name for it is "bacterial SSU rRNA". It matches the Rfam family "Bacterial small subunit ribosomal RNA", at positions 117 to 507 of the family's 1533-position model. The record is from RNAcentral.
UAUCGGAACGUGCCCAGUCUGGGGGAUAACGUAGCGAAAGCUACGCUAAUACCGCAUACGAUCUAUGGAUGAAANCGGGGAUCGCAAGACCUCGCGCGAUUGGAGCGGCCGAUAGUCAGAUUAGGUAGUUGGUGAGGUAAAGGCUCACCAAGCCGACGAUCUGUAGCUGGUCUGAGAGGACGACCAGCCACACUGGGACUGAGACACGGCCCAGACUCCUACGGGAGGCAGCAGUGGGGAAUUUUGGACAAUGGGCGCAAGCCUGAUCCAGCAAUGCCGCGUGCAGGAUGAAGGCCUCGGGUUGUAAACUGCUUUUGUACGGAACGAAACGGUGAGCUCUAAUACAGUUUGCUAAUGACGGUACCGUAAGAAUAAGCACCGGCUAACUACGUG